AUUGAACGCUGGCGGCAUGCCUUACACAUGCAAGUCGAACGGUAACGGGCCUUCGGGUGCCGACGAGUGGCGAACGGGUGAGUAAUACAUCGGAACGUGCCCGAUCGUGGGGGAUAACGAGGCGAAAGCUUUGCUAAUACCGCAUACGAUCUACGGAUGAAAGCAGUGGACCGCAAGGCCUUGCGCGGACGGAGCGGCCGAUGGCAGAGUAGGUAGUUGGUGGGAUAAAAGCUUACCAAGCCGACGAUCUGUAGCUGGUCUGAGAGGAUGAUCAGCCACACUGGGACUGAGACACGGCCCAGACUACUACGGGAGGCAGCAGUGGGGAAUUUUGGACAAUGGGCGCAAGCCUGAUCCAGCCAUGCCGAGUGCAGGAUGAAGGCCUUCGGGUUGUAAACUGCUUUUGUACGGAACGAAAAGCCUUCUUUUAAUACAGGAGGGUCAUGACGGUACCGUAAGAAUAAGCACCGGCUAACUACGUG
This 482-nucleotide ribosomal RNA is filed under the name uncultured bacterium. RNAcentral's name for it is "partial 16S ribosomal RNA". It matches the Rfam family "Bacterial small subunit ribosomal RNA", at positions 30 to 507 of the family's 1533-position model. The record is from RNAcentral.